GAGUAUCAUGCCCUUCGGGGUAGAUCUCCACCCUUGAAUAACAUACCUUUGUUGCUUUGGCAGGACGCACUCGUGCCAGGGGCUUCGGCUCUUGAGUGCCUGCCAGAGGACCACAACUCUUGUUUUUAGUGAUGUCUGAGUACUAUAUAAUAGUUAAAACUUUCAACAACGGAUCUCUUGGUUCU
Molecule: unclassified non-coding RNA, 185 nt
Filed under: rhizosphere metagenome
Description: partial ribosomal RNA internal transcribed spacer region
Source: RNAcentral